This is an RNA transcript of Entelurus aequoreus (snake pipefish), 4423 nucleotides long. It is a transcript of the gene named sortilin, with no coding region annotated. Lineage: Eukaryota; Metazoa; Chordata; Actinopteri; Syngnathiformes; Syngnathidae. The transcript is spliced from 22 exons. The record is from RefSeq and is a predicted model, not a curated record.
GUCAAGGGAGGUCACAUGGCUUCUCUCCGGCAGGUGAGGGAGAUGCGGGCUCAAACACCUGCUGGACUCCACGCAGCACUUUCCAUGUAAAUGACCCGUCCCAGCUCUUCCCUCCCCACUCCCACACCUGCUCCCGGCAGACUCACUUGGGACUCGGGGACACGGCCGCCCACGGACACCUCCACUGGGGAUCCUGAGUGGUUCUGGCACCGGUCAUGGGAUGGAGGAGGGUCUUGGUGGUCGGCGGUUUGCUGCUGCUUCAAUGCGGGGAUGGACGCAGGAUGCCGCCGCCGCCGCCGUCGACGACGACUCAUGGCGGGGCUCGGUUGGACGCGGCGCGGAGUCACGUCCGGAGGGACGCCGGCACUUCCAGGGCUCCCAGCGGGGCUUCCUUCGACUCUUGCCGGGUCAACCUGACGCCUGCGGAGCAUGAAGUUCUGGAUGACAAUACACAUGAGACUGGUUUUAAUGGUGACGAUGGCUCUUACGUCAUCCUCACAUGGGUGGGCGAUGGCACAGGGGUCAUCCUGGUGUUGUCCACCAUCAACACCCCCUUAGACACGUUCCUGGAAGGCGGUUCAUCUCGACUGUACAGAAGUACGGAUUACGGAAAGUCCUUCCAUGACAUCUCUCAAAGCAUCAACCACACCUUCAUCAAAGAGGAGUUUGGCGUCAGCGUGGGGCCGGGAAGUUCUGUGAUACUGACAGCAGACACCCCAGUGGUGGACCACCCAGGAGGCAUCAUCUUCACCUCCACUGACGCCGGCGCCACCUUCCGCUUCACCCAGCUUCCCUUCCACCUGGCGCAGCCCAUCACCUACCACUUCCUCAACCCGGACUACCUGGUGGCGCUCAGCAUCGACGGCGGUCUGUGGCUCUCUGUGGACUUUGGCGCCAAGUGGACCAAAGUGCAUGAUGGAGUGCAUUCUUUCUCAUGGGGUGCUGGCAUCAAUUUGUUCUUCAGCUGCAGUAAAGCAGACACAAUGGAUGCAGAGGAGCGAGGAGACUUACAGCUAAAGAGGACAAAGGACCUGGGGAAGACCUUCACCAUAAUCCACGAGGACGUCUUCAGUUUUGGAUACAUCGGAGCCUUUCUUUUCUUCUCGGUCAUGGAAGACACGCGAUCGCCCAGAGUCAUGUAUUUUUCCUCCGACCAAGGAGACACUUUUAGUCAAGCGCUACUGCCUUCUGCCUCCACUGAGCAGUUUUACUCCAUCUUGGACGGCGAUGAGGACAUGCUGUUCAUGCAUGUGGACAAUCCAGGAGACACCUACUUUGGAACCAUGUACACGUCGGACGACCGCGGCAUCCUGUUCUCCAAAUCCCUGGAGCGCCACCUGUUUGAUGGGCAGAGGAAGAGCGAUUUCCGGAAUGUCACGUCGCUGCGAGGAGUCUACCUCACCAACAGACUGGACAAAGACGGACGAAUACGAUCGGUCAUCUCCUUCAAUCGCGGCGGAGCAUGGCAGCAGCUUUCCAAACCUCAGAAUGUCGAAUGUGGGCAAGAAGUCAAGAACUGCAAGCUGCAUAUUCAUGGAGAACACAGUCGCAUCAAUCACAUCGUUCCCAUGCUCCUCAUGUCGGAGCCCACCGCCAUCGGUCUGGUCAUCGCCCACGGUACCGUGGGGGAUUGCCUGUCGUCCUCGCAGCACCCGGAUGUGUUUGUGUCGUCAGACGGGGGCUACAGCUGGCGGGGGACUUUAAGGGGUCCUCAUCACUACAGCAUUCUGGACUCUGGCGGUCUGGUGGUGGCUGUGGAGGCUCGGCGUGAAGGACAAGUCAAGACCAUCAAGUUCUCCACAGACGAGGGUCAGUGCUGGAAGUCGUACAAUUUCACCGAGCAGCCCUUCUUCUUCGCGGGCCUGUCGUCCGAGCCGGGCACCAAGGCCCUGAGCGUCAGCGUGUGGGGCUUCCGUCCCGAAGACGACGGCCAGCCCAUGUGGGUUGCCGUAACCAUCGACUUCCAGAGCCUCGUCACGAGAGAGUGCGAUGAGCGGGAUUACGAAGACUGGUUGGCUCAUGCGACACAGGGAGGAGCUUCAAGGAGCGACGGCUGCGUCCUGGGCAUCAAGGAGACGUACAAGAAACGGAAGAAAGAAUCAGUUUGCAGGAAUGGUCGCGCUUUUGUCUUAAGGAAGAAGGAAAGUCCCUGUUUGUGCACCAGGGAGGAUUUCUUGUGCGACUACGGCUAUUAUCGCCAUGACAUCACUUCUGAGUGUGUGCGACAGCCCGACGCUCACAACAAAACCUUGGAGACCUGCCUGGACGGACAGGAGGACGAGCUCUUCACGGCAGGGUAUCGGAAAGUCCCAAGCGACAGAUGCGAAGGAGGGUUUUCGCCUCAACUGGCAGUCCAGACCAUCAUAAGACCAUGCGGCAUCAAGCCCACCUCUAAUUCACCACCUGCAAGCUCCCCCUUGCCAGUUACCUAUUUUGACACACCUCGAGAGAGGAUGGUACUGAUACUGGUGUGCAGCGGCGCAGGCGUCAUCGUGCUGGCAGCAGUCGUCUUCGCGUUGGUAGCCGUCAAAAGAGGAGUCUACAGGAACAGCUCGGGUGUUUCAAAUCGCAGGGCACCGGAGUAUCGCUUCUCCAAUCUCCAGGGUCAAGAGGAUCGUAACGGUGUCACAGGGGACCUUGAAAGCGCCACAAGCACCAAUGGAACGCCCUGUCCACCGGACUCGGACAAUAAUCUUCUGCAGUGACGCACACCUUUUAGACCGUAACCAGUGCUGUGCUGAAUGGAGGGAUCUGUGAAUCUGGAACAGGCUCCCCCCUGCACAUCAAAUCAAGCACUUUCACAGCCCGCAGAGGCAGGAAAGCAACAGCGGCUCGUCUUGAAGACCCGUGAAAAUGGCUCCGCCCACACCAGAGGCCAUUGUGGAUGCACACUCAGCUCUUUGACCACGCCAGCAAGAAUUAACCAACCAGCUUUUCACGUUUCAAUUCCGUGGAGUCUAACGUGGCGUGCGUUAGAGACCGCUUCGCUCUUAAUAGAUGGCGACAGGUAUGGACGCCUGCACAACACGCUGCUCUACUUGUCUGCCUGGAGUUGCACUAGCAGGACUAACAGCGAGCCAUCGGGCUAAAUAGAGCCUGGAGACACUUUUCUGUCCAGUGCGAACACUUCUUGCUCGUGUUCUGGUGAGACAUGCUCCACAUUGGUAUUCAUGCACCCCCCCCCCGGCAUCUGCACAUGUGUUUGAAUACGGAAACGUAAUUGCACAUUGAGAGACUACUCUUUCACGUGAGUACAGUCGAUACGUUAAAGGCUGUAUUAUUGUAUUUUGUCAUUUAACAUACAAGUUUCUCACUACAAACAAUGUAUGUUUGGGUAAAGCGGGAUUGUCCAAAUGAUGGCGCAUGGGCCAACCACGGAUCAUAGCUGGGUUUUUUUUAAUGGCCCCGUACAUUAAAAAGAUACAUUUGAUCAUGAGAAAAGAGGAUAUAUUCCAUCCAUCCAUUUUCUAACGCUUGUCCCUUUCGGCGUCGCUGGAGCCUAAGCUGCAUAAUAAUACUAAUUAUGAACAAAAAAUACAAAUGUGUCUUUAAAUAUUCGGGAUCUGUUUUUUUAGCCUUUUUAUUGGACUAUUAAAUCUACUGACUUUAUUAAAUCCCCCCCGGCCCCCUCGCAACACUGUGCUUUACCUAACAUAAUGAAUUAUCAUGAUUAAUAUACCUGAUUUCAAUAUUGAUUAAAAACAUAAUCAUGUUUAUUAAUUUGGCCAUAAUCGUGCAGCCCUAUCUGAAAGACAGUCAUAGGAAAAAUACAAUAUCUUUAUUUAUUGAGAUACUUUCAAUUUUUUGCUUUAUUGGCUUGGAAAACCCCUUGAUUUGUACAAUAUUUGUAUUUUAAUAUUAAAAAGAAGUGAUGCUACUCUGCUUUUUAAUUGUUUUUUGUAUUAUUAGUGAUUCCCAGAGCCCAAAAAAAGUCAGCGGGCUAUAGAGCGUUUUCUAUUUGGGCUCCAGUACUAUGGAAUACCCUUGCGGUAACAGUUAGAGAUGCUACCUCAGUAGAAGCAUUUAAGUCCCAUCUUAAAACUCAUUUGUAUACUUUAGCCUUUAAAUAGACCCCCUUUUUAGACUAAUUGAUGUGCCGUUUCUUUUCUUUUCUCCUCUGCCCCCGUCUCUCUUGUGGAGGAGGGGGGUACACAUAGGUCCAGUGGCCAUGGAUGAAGUGCGGCUGUCCAGAGUCUGGACCCGGGGUGGACCGCUUGCCUGUGCAUCAGUUGGGGACAUCUCUGCGCUGCUGACUCGUCUCUGCUUGGGAUGGUUUCCUGCUGGCCCCACUAUGGACUGGACUCUCACUAUUAUGUUAGAUCCACUAUGGACUGGACUUUCACAAUACUAUGUCAGACCCACUCGACAUCCAUUGCUUUCGGUCUCCCCUAGAGAGGGGGGGGGUUACCCACAUAUGCGGUCC